Molecule: long non-coding RNA, 666 nt
Organism: Tupaia belangeri chinensis (Chinese tree shrew)
Lineage: Eukaryota; Metazoa; Chordata; Mammalia; Scandentia; Tupaiidae
Exons: 2
Source: RefSeq, a predicted model, not a curated record
CAUUUAAAAACUUUUUGUAGAGAAGCUCUUUUUCCUCAUUUCCUUCCACUCCUCAUUGAUUCUUAACUUCUUUUUGUUUAUUUAGUUUUUGGAAGCACCACCAGGAUUAAAUAGCAACUUUAAAUUUGGGUGUAUCCUUCCAGAAAUUUCAAUACAGAGGACCCUGGUGUCCAACAGCAUCAUUGCAUUGGUUCAUUUGCUCAGUCCUCUGCAACAUGCACAGAAUGGUUCCACAAUUGGUAUAUUCAUACCUCCAUGAAAAGGAAACCUAAUAGAUGUGUAGGAUUAACUAUACUUGUGAUAAUUAAAAUUGUUUCCUUAUGGAAAAACAUGUGUCUUAUUAAUUUGUCCGAUUUGUUCAUAUUUAGAAUUUUUUUAAGUAUUUCACUUCAUUUUAUUUAUUCUUAUUAUUUUUAAAUUUGACCAGAGGAAGACACAGAGAGAAGGAAAGUGAGAAAGCAAGCUACCAGGUCCAGGAUUCAAACUGUGGUCUGCCAUGUGGAAGUCCAGCACUCCAACCACCACACCACCUGCCAGCCCCCGUAUUUAGAAUUUGUAACAUGACCGAGUUUAUAAGUACAUGCAGCUUUGAAGCCACAGAUAGACUUACUUCUGUUUUGACUUCUAUAUUAAGUCUAUUUGUUAAUUAAAGAAAUGCUAACUUAA